This 301-nucleotide ribosomal RNA is filed under the name uncultured bacterium. RNAcentral describes it as "partial 16S ribosomal RNA". It matches the Rfam family "Bacterial small subunit ribosomal RNA", at positions 509 to 807 of the family's 1533-position model. The record is from RNAcentral.
CAGCAGCCGCGGGAAAACGUAGGUGGCAAGCGUUGUCCGGAAUUAUUGGGCGUAAAGGGCUCGCAGGCGGUUUCUUAGGUCUGAUGUGAAAGCCCCCGGCUCAACCGGGGAGGGUCAUUGGAAACUGGGAAACUUGAGUGCAGAGGAGGAGAGUGGAAUUCCACGUGUAGCGGUGAAAUGCGUAGAGAUGUGGAGGAACACCAGUGGCGAAGGCGACUCUCUGGUCUGUAACUGACGCUGAGGAGCGAAAGCGUGGGGAGCGAACAGGAUUAGAUACCCCAGUAGUCCCUGUCUCUUAUAC